GACGAACGCUGGCGGCGUGCUUAACACAUGCAAGUCGAACGGUAAGGCCCUUCGGGGUACACGAGUGGCGAAGGGGUGAGUAAAGCAUGGGUGAUCUGCCCUGCACUUCGGGAGAAGCCAGGGAAACUAGGUCUAAUACCGGACAGGACGACUGCCUGCAUGGGCGGUGGUGGAAAGCUUUGGCUGUGUGGGAUGGGCCCGCGGCCUAUCAGCUUGUGGGUGGGGGGAUGGCCUAACAAGGCGACGACGGGUAGCCGGCGUGAGAGGGUGACCGGCCACACUGGGACUGAGAUAAGGCCCAGCCUCCUACGGGAGGCAGCAGUGGGGAAUAUUGCACAAUGGGCGCAAGACUGAUGCAGCGACGCCGCGUGAGGGAUGACGGCCUUCGGGUUGUAAACCUCUUUCAGCACCGACGAAGCGCAAGUGACGGUAGGUGCAGAAGAAGGACCGGCCAACUACGUGCCAGCCGCCGCCGUAA
RNAcentral lists this ribosomal RNA (478 nucleotides) under uncultured bacterium. RNAcentral describes it as "partial 16S ribosomal RNA". It matches the Rfam family "Bacterial small subunit ribosomal RNA", at positions 28 to 523 of the family's 1533-position model. The record is from RNAcentral.